This 1719-nucleotide long non-coding RNA is filed under the name Ficedula albicollis (Collared flycatcher). RNAcentral's name for it is "lncRNA (ENSFALG00000028086.1)". Lineage: Eukaryota; Metazoa; Chordata; Aves; Passeriformes; Muscicapidae. The record is from RNAcentral.
AUGGCCAGGAGCUGGGAAUGGCCGGGAGCUGGGAAUGGCCAGGAGCUGGGACUGGGCAGGAGCCGGGAAUGGCCGGGAGCUGGGAAUGGCCGGGAGAUGGGAAUGGCCAGGAGCUGGGAAUGGGCAGGAGCUGGGAAUGGCCGGGAGCUGGGAAUGGCCAGGAGCUGGGACUGGGCAGGAGCCGGGAAUGGCCGGGAGCUGGGAAUGGCCGGGAGAUGGGAAUGGCCAGGAGCUGGGAAUGGGCAGGAGCUGGGAAUGGCCGGGAGCUGGGAAUGGCCAGGAGCUGGGACUGGGCAGGAGCCGGGAAUGGCCGGGAGCUGGGAAUGGCCGGGAGAUGGGAAUGGCCAGGAGCUGGGAAUGGGCAGGAGCUGGGAAUGGCCGGGAGCUGGGAAUGGCCAGGAGCUGGGACUGGGCAGGAGCCGGGAAUGGCCGGGAGCUGGGAAUGGCCGGGAGAUGGGAAUGGCCAGGAGCUGGGAAUGGGCAGGAGCUGGGAAUGGCCGGGAGCUGGGAAUGGCCAGGAGCUGGGACUGGGCAGGAGCCGGGAAUGGCCGGGAGCUGGGAAUGGCCGGGAGAUGGGAAUGGCCAGGAGCUGGGAAUGGGCAGGAGCUGGGAAUGGCCGGGAGCUGGGAAUGGCCAGGAGCUGGGACUGGGCAGGAGCUGGGAAUGGCCGGGAGCUGGGAAUGGCCAGGAGCUGGGACUGGGCAGGAGCUGGGAAUGGCCGGGAGCUGGGAAUGGCCAGGAGCUGGGACUGGGCAGGAGCUGGGAAUGGCCGGGAGCUGGGAAUGGCCAGGAGCUGGGACUGGGCAGGAGCUGGGAAUGGCCGGGAGCUGGGAAUGGCCAGGAGCUGGGACUGGGCAGGAGCUGGGAAUGGCCGGGAGCUGGGAAUGGCCAGGAGCUGGGACUGGGCAGGAGCUGGGAAUGGCCGGGAGCUGGGAAUGGCCAGGAGCUGGGACUGGGCAGGAGCUGGGAAUGGCCGGGAGCUGGGAAUGGCCAGGAGCUGGGACUGGGCAGGAGCUGGGAAUGGCCGGGAGCUGGGAAUGGCCAGGAGCUGGGACUGGGCAGGAGCUGGGAAUGGCCGGGAGCUGGGAAUGGCCAGGAGCUGGGACUGGGCAGGAGCUGGGAAUGGCCGGGAGCUGGGAAUGGCCAGGAGCUGGGACUGGGCAGGAGCUGGGAAUGGCCGGGAGCUGGGAAUGGCCAGGAGCUGGGACUGGGCAGGAGCUGGGAAUGGCCGGGAGCUGGGAAUGGCCAGGAGCUGGGACUGGGCAGGAGCUGGGAAUGGCCGGGAGCUGGGAAUGGCCAGGAGCUGGGACUGGGCAGGAGCUGGGAAUGGCCGGGAGCUGGGAAUGGCCAGGAGCUGGGACUGGGCAGGAGCUGGGAAUGGCCGGGAGCUGGGAAUGGCCAGGAGCUGGGACUGGGCAGGAGCUGGGAAUGGCCGGGAGCUGGGAAUGGCCAGGAGCUGGGACUGGGCAGGAGCUGGGAAUGGCCGGGAGCUGGGAAUGGCCAGGAGCUGGGACUGGGCAGGAGCUGGGAAUGGCCGGGAGCUGGGAAUGGCCAGGAGCUGGGACUGACCAGGAGCUGGGACUGGGCAGGAGCUGGGACUGGCCAGGAGCUGGGACUGGCCUGACAGCGGGAGUGGGACACAGCAGGACACCCUCACCACGUCCCACCACGUCCCCGCAGCCCGUCUGCAUUUUGGAGCGGGGUGUGAAGCAAACAUGA